GACGAACGCUGGCGGCGUGCUUAACACAUGCAAGUCGAACGGAAAGGCCCUGCUUUUGUGGGGUGCUCGAGUGGCGAACGGGUGAGUAACACGUGAGUAACCUGCCCUUGACUUUGGGAUAACUUCAGGAAACUGGGGCUAAUACCGGAUAGGAGCUCCUGCUGCAUGGUGGGGGUUGGAAAGUUUCGGCGGUUGGGGAUGGACUCGCGGCUUAUCAGCUUGUUGGUGGGGUAGUGGCUUACCAAGGCUUUGACGGGUAGCCGGCCUGAGGGGGUGACCGGCCACAUGGGGACUGGGUACGGGCCCAGACCCCCGGGGGGGGCGGAGGGGGGAAAUGUGGCAAAAGGGGGGGAAGCCUGUGGCGGAAACGCGGGGGGGGGGAUGCGGCCCUUGGGGUUGAAAACCGUUUUCGCCUGUGACGAAGGGUGGGGGGCGGUAUUGGGAAAAGAACCCCCGGCAAACUACG
RNAcentral lists this ribosomal RNA (466 nucleotides) under uncultured bacterium. RNAcentral describes it as "partial 16S ribosomal RNA". It matches the Rfam family "Bacterial small subunit ribosomal RNA", at positions 28 to 505 of the family's 1533-position model. The record is from RNAcentral.